CACUCGUAGGUUUCUCACUUGGUGCAAGAGUUAUUUUCAGCUGCUUCAGAUUUUGCCUGAAAGUGAAAAUAGUGGUAACACAUUAAGCUGACCCACUAAUCUAUGGCACAGUUUAUUUGCUCCAUCCUAAAAUUAAAGACUAGAAAAAGUUAUAAAGAAAGGUGAAACAUAUUCAUCGAUUUAUAUUUUUUUAAUGUGCCACAUGCUCAUUUACAAUACGCCAAAUUAGACAAGAUGGUAGAUACACUUAAGAGUGUAUCUAUGUUUGGCAUGGUAUGUGUCCCUUAUUUGAUCUAUCAAUAGUCUAUCAUUUAUGCUUAAAACAAGCAUCUAUUGUUUCAUUCUUUGAGCAAUGCUGCUUGUACAGGCCACACACAAUACAGAGGGGUGGCUAAUUUCAUUUUUUUUAAAAUAAUCCCCCACCCAACAUGUGAGGGGCCUAUACAGCAGGCAAUUUCCUCCUCAGAAAUGGUUCACAUUCCAUCUAACUGAUGCGGGUAAAGGUGUUUCCAAUUUUCCACUCAAAUCACUAACAUCCCAUCUAAGUACAAAGACCUUAAUGUAAAGGCUUUAGUGCCAAUGUCAGCCAUCUAACACUUUGAACAAAAGAAUGAGGAAAUUGCCUAUUGUUCACAGGGGACAAAUCUCUCACAUGCUGGGUGGGGGAUUAUUUAAAAAAAAAAAAAAAAUUAUCCACCCCCCUGUUUUCACAGGGCCUGUACAGGUAGCACUACUCUUCUGAGGAUUGGAUAACUAGAACCUGCCGGCAUGGACUAACACACUUAAGAAUUAUUAGAGAAGUACUGUACCAGUACUGUGCAGUUCCUUCAACAAGCUACCAUAAACAUAGAACGGGUGAUGGCUCGAAGUUUUUUGAUAGAAUGACAUGCUAUGAUUGAUCUAUUUCUGCCGUUUAAUUACAAUUUAGUACAUGACAUGGGAUUUUACCUUAUUACCUAAUUGCUAGCUUUGUACUUAAAUAUCUCAUAGUUUUGUCUCUCAAUGUUAAAACUUCAAACCUGAGUAUAAGCUAAACAAAAAAGUACCUCCAGAUUUAAGAAUCCAAACAAAUGAUUCUGGAAAUUUCUACAGGAUGGAUAUCAAUUCUAUCUGCAUUGCAAAUUUAACUUCUUUUCAUAUAUGAUCCUGGGUCCUAUUAUUCUGAUGACUUAUAAUAAACAACAUUCCUUCCAAUCCCACCCCCCAGUUGAAGGUUUCAAAUAGUAAAUCAUGCCCUUUUAGACAACUUAGAUUUUAGAUAAAAUGUUGAUUCAGUAUGGCCUUAGAAUAGGCACAUGUCAUAGUAUUAAGAUUUACGGACUCCCAUUGCUAAUAGUUAAUUAAUAAAAUCAUGUGCUAAGCCUUUGAGAAAAAUAAACGUUGCCCGGAUGUCGUCGUCCUUCAAACAACUUGACUUUUUAGGUGGGAACUCGACCUCCAAAAGAAAAUCUCUUUUAAGUUCUGUAUUAUAAAAUACUGAUUCACUCCCCUAUUUUUUGUCAGCUGGACUUGUGGAAAGAGUUGUUCUACUUGGAGCACCCAUUGCAAUUAAAGAAAUGAACUGGGAAGCUACUCGGCAGGGAUUGUUGCUUUACCUUCUGCAUUCAUAUUCACAAAUAUUGAUAUUGUAUCAAUAAUAGGCACAUAUGCAUCAGUUACUGUUAUUGCAUAUGUUUAACAUUCUCUAUUAUGCAGGUGGUGGCUGGAAGGUUUGUGAAUGCAUAUUCUACCAACGAUUGGAUACUUGGAAUUGCGUUUCGUGCCAAGUAUGCAAGUCUUAAAUCUACUGUGAAAAUAUUAGGAUUGUGAAAUUGAUAGGUAGAUCACAUCUUGCUUUUGAAGUUGAGAUUUGUGCCUAACUGUGUCAAUAGAAGUAUCAAAACAAAAGAAGAAGUGAAUUUUUUUUGUCCAUUCUUUUGCUUAUUGAUUUUCGAUGUUGCCCUUUGCCUAUAACAGUCUUCUGACACUAGGAUUGGCAGGAAUUCAACCAGUGGAAGUGCCUGGAAUUGAAAAUGUAAAUAUUAUUCGUAAUGCUGGUCAACAUAGCGUAACAUAUGUUUGGGAUUUCAACCUUUAUCUCUCCAUUGUUUUUGACAGGUUAACGUAACUAGCAUAAUUGAUGGUCACUCUUUUAUCUUUGGAAUGCCCAGGAAAUCCUAGAACAGCUCGAACCGAUUUUCAGUCCUCCCCCUGUCAAAACAUAGUUUGUACUGAAAUUCUGGCAUAGAGUGCAAUUGCAUCAGAGGCUUUGUUCUUGUCGGAAAUGGAGGUUUGGAUCUAAUUUUAAGUGUUACCGUAGUCGGCUUGUGUAUUCUUGAACCGAGGAUAUUUCAUUAGUUACUGCUUGGUACUUCUAUAAAUUUCAUUUUAUCCUCAUUCUUUGCGCAAUAUGAAUCAUAAGAAUUGAACAAAUGAAACAGGUAAACAGGUGGUAAUAUUGAAGAUCUGUACUUGCUCGUGUUACUGAGGAGAUGAAGAGUGGCUAUAAAAGUGCAAAACAAAUGCUGGAGUUCCCAUACGAGAAAUUAAGUAGAUGCCAUAUUUUUGGAACUGAUACAAAUCAACAUUGCCAAGAAUGUAGAAUGUAAAAUGAAUAAUGUUAAUUUACAUAAACAUAAAAUGUCACAACAUGUAGAACUUUUAGCUUCAAUGAUACUAUAGUAUACUUUUCUACACUAACAUGAAAGUAUUUUGCACAUUGUUCUGAG
This 2708-nucleotide long non-coding RNA is filed under the name Olea europaea subsp. europaea. The record is from RNAcentral. Lineage: Eukaryota; Viridiplantae; Streptophyta; Magnoliopsida; Lamiales; Oleaceae.